CCUACGGGAGGCAGCAGUGGGGAAUAUUGGGCAAUGGGCGCAAGCCUUACCCAGCAAUACCGCGUGAGUGAAGAAGGUCUUCGGAUUGUAAAGCUCUUUGAUCAGGGACGAACAGAUGACGGUACCUGAAGAACAAGCCCCGGCUAACUACGUGCCAGCAGCCGCGGUAAAACGUAGGGGGCGAGCGUUGUCCGGAAUGACUGGGCGUAAAGGGUGCGUAGGCGGCAUAAUAAGUUAGAAGUGAAAUACCCAGAGCUUAACUCGGGUGCUGCUUCUAAGACUGUUGAGCUUGAGUGCGGGAGAGGUUAAUGGAAUUCCUAGUGUAGCGGUGGAAUGCGUAGAUAUCACGAAGAACUCCGAUUGCGAAGGCAGCUUACUAAACUGCCACUGACAUUGAUGCUCGAAAGUGUGGGUAUCAAACAGGAUUAGAUACCCUUGUAGUC
Molecule: ribosomal RNA, 443 nt
Filed under: uncultured bacterium
Lineage: Bacteria
Description: partial 16S ribosomal RNA
Rfam family: Bacterial small subunit ribosomal RNA
Source: RNAcentral